AGAGAUUCUGUCAUUGUUUGCUGUAUAAACUCCUGCACCAGUAUGUUUGCUGGGAUCGUCAUAUUUUCCAUUGUGGGCUUCAUGUCAUACAUCACAAAGAGACCCAUUGAAGAACUGGCUGCUUCAGUUUUGUACAGUGGAAGGCUUCAUAACUGCUCUAAUGGAUGAAUAUCCCACAGUCCUGAGGAAGAGAAAUAAACUCUUCAUCCUCAUUGUCUGUAUUAUAUCCUUUGUUAUCGGUUUCUCCAACAUCACACAGGGCGGCUUAUAUGUGUUCAAAUUGUUUGACUACUACUCGGCCAGUGGAAUGUGUCUCCUGUUCCUGGUCUUCUUUGAGACAAUCUCCAUUUCCUGGUUCUAUGGUAU
This is a long non-coding RNA of Carassius carassius (crucian carp), 366 nucleotides long. RefSeq lists it as uncharacterized. Lineage: Eukaryota; Metazoa; Chordata; Actinopteri; Cypriniformes; Cyprinidae. The transcript is spliced from 3 exons. The record is from RefSeq and is a predicted model, not a curated record.